CCAUUCCCAUGUUGAAAUAUUAGGAUUGGAAUCUUAUCAUACACUGAAAUUGCUGUUCAAACUACUAAAUGUGCAAGUGUAGCUAAGUUUUAAUGACAGCAAAGCAUCUAUAAUUUUACCACACUUACUUCUCUGUGAUGAAGGAGAAAAUGGAAUCGUUGUGUAGGCCCGAAACACAUAGCUUGCGAAGAGAUCCGGUGCUUCGAGUGAUGAGCA
Molecule: long non-coding RNA, 216 nt
Organism: Hibiscus syriacus
Lineage: Eukaryota; Viridiplantae; Streptophyta; Magnoliopsida; Malvales; Malvaceae
Exons: 3
Source: RefSeq, a predicted model, not a curated record